RNAcentral lists this ribosomal RNA (423 nucleotides) under uncultured bacterium. RNAcentral describes it as "partial 16S ribosomal RNA". It matches the Rfam family "Bacterial small subunit ribosomal RNA", at positions 361 to 776 of the family's 1533-position model. The record is from RNAcentral.
AUUUUGGACAAUGGGCGCAAGCCUGAUCCAGCCAUGCCGCGUGAGUGAAGAAGUCCUUCGGGUUGUAAAGCUCUUUCGGAGGAAAAGAAAUCGCGCAGGCUAAUACCCUGCGCGGUCGCCAGUACCGCCAUAAGAAGCACCACCAAACUACGUGCCACCACCCGCGGUAAUACGUAGGGUGCGAGCGUUAAUCGGAAUUACUGGGCGUAAAGCGUGCGCAGGCGGUUGAUUAAGACAGGCGUGAAAUCCCCGGGCUUAACCUGGGAACUGCGCUUGUGACUGGUCAGCUAGAGUACGGCAGAGGGGGGUGGAAUUCCACGUGUAGCAGUGAAAUGCGUAGAGAUGUGGAGGAACACCGAUGGCGAAGGCAGCCCCCUGGGCCGAUACUGACGCUCAUGCACGAAAGCGUGGGUAGCAAACAGG